AGGUGUUUGUGCAUUUUCUUGGGAGAACAACCAAAAUGGACAAGUCCCCCAUCUGAUUCCAAGGCCAACGUUUGCGUCCUCAGGAAGAUUGAGUGAUUCACUUGACCUUGGGAGAUGAACCAGGCCAUGAGUCAGCCCCUUCCACUCUCCUUUUGUUUGGGAAUCUGUUCCCCAAGUUUAAUCAGGCCCAUGGCUGACCAGGAGGUCCUGACACCGAGUGGAUCUGAAUUCCCAGGAGAGGGGAGCAGCUACACCAGAGGGCCCGAGCAACCCUAGAUUACUUGCAUGAGAUGGUGGGG
Molecule: long non-coding RNA, 299 nt
Organism: Eptesicus fuscus (big brown bat)
Lineage: Eukaryota; Metazoa; Chordata; Mammalia; Chiroptera; Vespertilionidae
Exons: 3
Source: RefSeq, a predicted model, not a curated record